This 429-nucleotide ribosomal RNA is filed under the name Pseudomonadota bacterium. Its description in RNAcentral is "Proteobacteria bacterium partial 16S ribosomal RNA". It matches the Rfam family "Bacterial small subunit ribosomal RNA", at positions 355 to 776 of the family's 1533-position model. The record is from RNAcentral. Lineage: Bacteria; Pseudomonadati; Pseudomonadota.
UGGGGAAUAUUGGACAAUGGGCGAAAGCCUGAUCCAGCCAUGCCGCGUGUGUGAAGAAGGUCUUCGGAUUGUAAAGCACUUUAAGUUGGGAGGAAGGGCAGUAAGCGAAUACCUUGCUGUUUUGACGUUACCGACAGAAUAAGCACCGGCUAACUCUGUGCCAGCAGCCGCGGUAAUACAGAGGGUGCAAGCGUUAAUCGGAAUUACUGGGCGUAAAGCGCGCGUAGGUGGUUCGUUAAGUUGAAUGUGAAAGCCCCGGGCUCAACCUGGGAACUGCAUCCAAAACUGGCGAGCUAGAGUAGGGCAGAGGGUGGUAGAAUUUCCUGUGUAGCGGUGAAAUGCGUAGAUAUAGGAAGGAACACCAGUGGCGAAGGCGACCACCUGGGCUCAUACUGACACUGAGGUGCGAAAGCGUGGGGAGCAAACAGG